This 1367-nucleotide ribosomal RNA is filed under the name uncultured bacterium. RNAcentral describes it as "partial 16S ribosomal RNA". It matches the Rfam family "Bacterial small subunit ribosomal RNA". The record is from RNAcentral.
AGGGUUUGAUCAUGGCUCAGAUUGAACGCUGGCGGCACGCCUAACACAUGCAAGUCGAGCGGGGUAGCAAUACCUAGCGGCAGACGGGUGCGUAACAUGUGGGAAUCUGCCUUUUGGUUCGGAACAACACGGGGAAACCUGUGCUAAUACCGGAUAAGUCCUUACGGAGAAAGUUUUAAUGCCAAAAGAUGAGCCCGCAUUUGAUUAGCUAGUUGGUGAGGUAAAAGCUCACCAAGGCGAUAAUCAAUAGCUGAUUUGAGAGGAUGAUCAGCCACACUGGGACUGAGAUACGGCCCAGACUCCUACGGGAGGCAGCAGUGGGGAAUCUUGCACAAUGGGCGAAAGCCUGAUGCAGCGAUGCCGCGUGAGUGAAGAAGGCCUUUGGGUUGUAAAGCUCUUUUGUCGGGAAAGAUAAUGACUGUACCCGAAGAAUAAGGUCCGGCUAACUUCGUGCCAGCAGCCGCGGUAAUACGAAGGGACCUAGCGUAGUUCGGAAUUACUGGGCGUAAAGAGUAUGUAGGCGGCUAGAUAAGUUAAUUGUGAAAGCCCAAAGCUUAACUUUGGAAUUGCAAUUAAAACUAUUUAGCUGGAGUAUGAUAGAGGAAAGCGGAAUACAUAGUGUAGAGGUGAAAUUCGUAGAUAUUAUGUAGAACACCAGUUGCGAAGGCGGCUUUCUGGAUCAUUACUGACGCUGAGAUACGAAAGUAUGGGUAGCGAAGAGGAUUAGAUACCCUCGUAGUCCAUACCAUAAACGAUGAUUAUUAGAUGUGGGGAAUUAUUUCUCUGUAUCAUAGCUAACGCGUUAAAUAAUCCGCCUGGGGAGUACGACCGCAAGGUUAAAACUCAAAUGAAUUGACGGGGACCCGCACAAGCGGUGGAGCAUGUGGUUUAAUUCGAAGCAACGCGCAGAACCUUACCUACCCUUGACAUCCUGCGAAGGUGACCGAGAAGUUACUGUGCCGAAAGGAACGCAGAGACAGGUGCUGCAUGGCUGUCGUCAGCUCGUGUUGUGAGAUGUUGGGUUAAGUCCCGUAACGAGCGCAACCCUUGUCCUUAGUUGCCAUCAUUUAGUUGGGGACUCUAAGGAGACUGCCGGUGAUGAACCGGAGGAAGGCGGGGACGACGUCAAGUCAUCAUGGCCUUUAUGGGUAGGGCCACACACGUGCUACAAUGGGGCGUACAGAGAGUCGCCAACCCGCGAGGGGGUGCCAAUCUCAGAAAACCGAUCGUAGUCCGGAUUGUUGUCUGCAACUCGACAGCAUGAAGUCGGAAUCGCUAGUAAUCGCGGAUCAGAAUGUCGCGGUGAAUACGUUCCCGGGCCUUGUACACACCGCCCGUCACACCAUGGGAGUGGGUUUUACCAGAAG